GCACCCGUAGCUCAGCUGGAUAGAGCGACGGAUUCCUAAUCCCUAGCUCUGCGUUCGAGUCACGGUGGGAGCACCA
RNAcentral lists this transfer RNA (76 nucleotides) under Pseudomonadota bacterium. Its description in RNAcentral is "Proteobacteria bacterium tRNA-Arg". It matches the Rfam family "tRNA". Rfam says of the family: Transfer RNA (tRNA) molecules are approximately 80 nucleotides in length. Their secondary structure includes four short double-helical elements and three loops (D, anti-codon, and T loops). Further hydrogen bonds mediate the characteristic L-shaped molecular structure. tRNAs have two regions of fundamental functional importance: the anti-codon, which is responsible for specific mRNA codon recognition, and the 3' end, to which the tRNAs corresponding amino acid is attached (by aminoacyl-tRNA synthetases). tRNAs cope with the degeneracy of the genetic code in two manners: having more than one tRNA (with a specific anti-codon) for a particular amino acid; and 'wobble' base-pairing, i.e. permitting non-standard base-pairing at the 3rd anti-codon position. Lineage: Bacteria; Pseudomonadati; Pseudomonadota. The record is from RNAcentral.